Molecule: small RNA, 115 nt
Filed under: Marmota monax (woodchuck)
Lineage: Eukaryota; Metazoa; Chordata; Mammalia; Rodentia; Sciuridae
Source: RNAcentral
GCCAGGUGCAGUAUUGUGUACCUGCAGUCCCAGCUACUUGGGAGGUUAAGACAGGAGGUUUCCUUGAGCCUAGGAACUUGAAACUAUCUUGGGAUAUAUAGCAACCCUUUCUCAA